GCCCUUGUAGCUCAGCCGGUAGAGCAGCGGUUUUGUAAACCGAAGGUCGCGGGUUCGAUUCCUGCCGGGGGCA
RNAcentral lists this transfer RNA (73 nucleotides) under Azoarcus sp. RNAcentral's name for it is "tRNA-Thr". It matches the Rfam family "tRNA". Rfam says of the family: Transfer RNA (tRNA) molecules are approximately 80 nucleotides in length. Their secondary structure includes four short double-helical elements and three loops (D, anti-codon, and T loops). Further hydrogen bonds mediate the characteristic L-shaped molecular structure. tRNAs have two regions of fundamental functional importance: the anti-codon, which is responsible for specific mRNA codon recognition, and the 3' end, to which the tRNAs corresponding amino acid is attached (by aminoacyl-tRNA synthetases). tRNAs cope with the degeneracy of the genetic code in two manners: having more than one tRNA (with a specific anti-codon) for a particular amino acid; and 'wobble' base-pairing, i.e. permitting non-standard base-pairing at the 3rd anti-codon position. RNAcentral also lists the same sequence under 1 other name. The record is from RNAcentral. Lineage: Bacteria; Pseudomonadati; Pseudomonadota; Betaproteobacteria; Rhodocyclales; Zoogloeaceae.